Musca domestica (house fly) is the source of this 557-nucleotide long non-coding RNA. RefSeq lists it as uncharacterized. Lineage: Eukaryota; Metazoa; Arthropoda; Insecta; Diptera; Muscidae. The transcript is spliced from 3 exons. The record is from RefSeq and is a predicted model, not a curated record.
UACAAAAUUGAAAUUAAAGUCUAACUUUUAAUAUUCAUUGUUGAAAGAAGGAAUCGUUGAAUAUCUAGUGUCUAUGGAUGGAAAUUCCAAAUUCUCGCUUUCCAACAUUUUAUAAAGAAGAAUCCGCUUCGCUAAUGGUGCCAAACGGGUGUGAAUACUAUCAAAUAUCUAGCAUCAAUCCCAUGUAAGCUGCGUGUUUUUGUCAGUUUUACUGGAACCCUAAACACAUUAAAUGAAAGGUUAAAAAUAUUGACAUCUUAAUUCAAUGUCGCUCGAUGAAUCAUCGAACUACUCAAUACCCGGAAGCAAGCUCUUCGAUGGCUCCUGCAUAGCUCUUCAAUAGCUAACCGAUCGCUUCUAACUUCAUGUUAAUAGCUCCCGAAUCAUUGUUGGUCCUCCCCGAAAUUGUUGUAAACGACUUUGACUUUGCUCUAAAUAUACUAAAAACAAUAUGCGGUAAGUUUCUGCGGAUCUGAAACCUUUUCUUACUAGAAUGAUGAUUCCCCUAAAUUGCAUUUCCAUAUCUACAACAUAAUAAAAGCAAAUGUUGAGCCUAA